CCAGAAACCACAAAGCUCCCAGGCGGCGGCGGCGGCAGAUCCACUCUCACUUCCAUCGUGCGAGACAAAAUUUGAGGAACACCGGCGGUCGGUCUCGUCCUAGGCAAGGUACCAGAGAAGACACGGGAUUUGGAGGUGAUAUUUCGCAUCAAAACUUGGGAUGGACAACAAGGCAAAGUUUUUAAUUUAUACUGCUGUGGCACAUAUGUUUAUCUCUAUGAUGACAUUACUUGUUCAGUCAAGAAAAAGAAAGAGAAGAGCGACCAUAACAUAUGCCCCAAUUGACGAUAGGGAUAGAAUGAGAAGAGAGUAUUUCGAUAAUAAAGUAUGGAAGAAUGACACAACUUGCGUGAAUAUGCUUAGGCUACGGAAAGAACCAUUUUUUCGAUUCUGUAAAGUCUUUAGAGACCGGAAAUUGUUGAAGGACACGAUACAUAUGCCUAUUGAGG
Lolium perenne is the source of this 449-nucleotide non-coding RNA. Lineage: Eukaryota; Viridiplantae; Streptophyta; Magnoliopsida; Poales; Poaceae. The record is from RefSeq and is a predicted model, not a curated record.